Molecule: long non-coding RNA, 381 nt
Filed under: Oryza sativa tropical japonica subgroup
Lineage: Eukaryota; Viridiplantae; Streptophyta; Magnoliopsida; Poales; Poaceae
Description: lncRNA OsCMeo_03g0030050
Source: RNAcentral
GAGGGUGGCCUCGUCGCCGCCAACGAUGAACUAGAAGUCGACGGCCAGGUACUUUCCCCCACCUCCUGGCGCGACGAUGAUGCUCAGAUAGUUGUUGAAGACGCGUCUCUCCAAGUCAGGGACGUAGGAGGCGGUGCGGGCGGCGAUGUCGCAUAUGAAGUAGUGCUAUGUCGGGAUGGUGGUGAUGCGGAAUGUGUGCACCUUGCCGUCGACGUCAGUCUAGGACUACAGCUCGCCGAAGUCAGCAGGUUCUGUGGACGGCGGCGCGAGAGGACGAGCCCCACGGAGGGGUCGAUCACGAUGACGCAGGACUUCCACUUGGCAGAGGGGUUCACCGUCGCUCAAAUGACGCUGUACGGCUACUUGGGGGUGAUGAACUGA